RNAcentral lists this ribosomal RNA (429 nucleotides) under Bacillota bacterium. RNAcentral's name for it is "Firmicutes bacterium partial 16S ribosomal RNA". It matches the Rfam family "Bacterial small subunit ribosomal RNA", at positions 355 to 776 of the family's 1533-position model. Lineage: Bacteria; Bacillati; Bacillota. The record is from RNAcentral.
UGGGGAAUUUUGGACAAUGGGGGCAACCCUGAUCCAGCAAUGCCGCGUGUGUGAAGAAGGCCUUCGGGUUGUAAAGCACUUUUGUCCGGGAAGAAAUCGCACCUGAUAAUACCGGGUGUGGAUGACGGUACCGGAAGAAUAAGGACCGGCUAACUACGUGCCAGCAGCCGCGGUAAUACGUAGGGUCCAAGCGUUAAUCGGAAUUACUGUGCGUAAAGCGUGCGCAGGCGGUUGUGCAAGACCGAUGUGAAAUCCCCGGGCUUAACCUGGGAAUUGCAUUGGUGACUGCACGGCUAGAGUGUGUCAGAGGGGGGUAGAAUUCCACGUGUAGCAGUGAAAUGCGUAGAGAUGUGGAGGAAUACCGAUGGCGAAGGCAGCCCCCUGGGAUAACACUGACGCUCAUGCACGAAAGCGUGGGGAGCAAACAGG